This 406-nucleotide ribosomal RNA is filed under the name uncultured bacterium. RNAcentral's name for it is "partial 16S ribosomal RNA". It matches the Rfam family "Bacterial small subunit ribosomal RNA", at positions 30 to 526 of the family's 1533-position model. The record is from RNAcentral.
AUUGAACGCUGGCGGCAGGCCUAACACAUGCAAGUCGAGCGAGCGGCGGACGGGUGAUUAAUUUCUUGUAAACUGCCUGAUGGAGGGGGAUAACUACUGGAAACGGUAGCUAAUAACGCAUACCAUCAGAUGUGCCCAGAUGGCAUCAGCGAGUAGGUUAGGUAACGGCUCACCUAGGCGACGAUCCCUAGCCGGUCUGAGAUGCUGAACAGCCACACUGGAACGGAGACACGGUCCAGACUCCUACGGGAGGCAGCAGUGGGGAAUAUUGCACAAUGGGCGCAAGCCUGAUGCAGCCAUGCCGCGUGUGUGAAGAAGGCCUUCGGGUUGGAAAGCACUUUCAGGGGGGAGGCGUUACCCGCAUAAGAAGCACCGGCUAACUCCGUGCCAGCAGCCGCGGUAAUAC